RNAcentral lists this ribosomal RNA (440 nucleotides) under uncultured bacterium. RNAcentral describes it as "partial 16S ribosomal RNA". It matches the Rfam family "Bacterial small subunit ribosomal RNA", at positions 338 to 795 of the family's 1533-position model. The record is from RNAcentral.
CCUACGGGAGGCAGCAGUGGGGGAUAUUGCACAAUGGGGGGAACCCUGAUGCAGCGACGCCGCGUGGGUGAAGAAGCGCCUCGGCGCGUAAAGCCCUGUCAGCAGGGAAGAAAAUGACGGUACCUGAAGAAGAAGCCCCGGCUAACGACGGGCCAGGAGCCGCGGUAAUACGCAGGGGGCAAGCGUUAUCCGGAUUUACUGGGUGUAAAGGGGGCGCCGGCGGCGAUGCAAGCCAGGAGUGAAAGCCCGGGGCCCAACCCCGGGACUGCUCUUGGUACGGCGUGGCUGGAGUGCAGGAGGGGCAGGCGGCAUUCCUGGUGUAGCGGUGAAAUGCGUAGAUAUCAGGAGGAACACCGGUGGCGACGGCGGCCUGCUGGACUGCAACUGACGUUGCGGCCCGCACGCGUGGGGAGCAAACAGGAUUAGAUACCCCUGUAGUC